AGACCCGAAACCCGGUGAUCUAGCCAUGGGCAGGUUGAAGGUUGGGUAACACUAACUGGAGGACCGAACCGACUAAUGUUGAAAAAUUAGCGGAUGACCUGUGGCUGGGGGUGAAAGGCCAAUCAAACCGGGAGAUAGCUGGUUCUCCCCGAAAGCUAUUUAGGUAGCGCCUCGUGAAUUCAUCUCCGGGGGUAGAGCACUGUUUCGGCUAGGGGGCCAUCCCGGCUUACCAACCCGAUGCAAACUGCGAAUACCGGAGAAUGUUAUCACGGGAGACACACGGCGGGUGCUAACGUCCGUCGUGAAGAGGGAAACAACCCAGACCGCCAGCUAAGGUCCCAAAGUCAUGGUUAAGUGGGAAACGAUGUGGGAAGGCCCAGACAGCCAGGAUGUUGGCUUAGAAGCAGCCAUCAUUUAAAGAAAGCGUAAUAGCUCACUGGUCGAGUCGGCCUGCGCGGAAGAUGUAACGGGGCUAAACCAUGCACCGAAGCUGCGGCAGCGAACGUAUCACCCAAGACAACUUUACGGAGUUGACGAUUGACGGAGCGAAGCGACGUCAAAGCGUUCAUUAAAGUCGAGUUGGCUUAGGGAUACGUUCGUUGGGUAGGGGAGCGUUCUGUAAGCCUGUGAAGGUGUGUCGUGAGGCAUGCUGGAGGUAUCAGAAGUGCGAAUGCUGACAUAAGUAACGAUAAAGCGGGUGAAAAGCCCGCUCGCCGGAAGACCAAGGGUUCCUGUCCAACGUUAAUCGGGGCAGGGUGAGUCGACCCCUAAGGCGAGGCCGAAAGGCGUAGUCGAUGGGAAACGGGUUAAUAUUCCCGUACUUGGUGUUACUGCGAAGGGGGGACGGAGAAGGCUAUGUUGGCCGGGCGACGGUUGUCCCGGUUUAAGCGUGUAGGUGUGUGUUCCAGGUAAAUCCGGUUCACUUUAACACUGAGGCGUGAUGACGAGGCACUACGGUGCUGAAGCAACAAAUGCCCUGCUUCCAGGAAAA
RNAcentral lists this ribosomal RNA (991 nucleotides) under Salmonella enterica. Its description in RNAcentral is "partial 23S ribosomal RNA". It matches the Rfam family "Bacterial large subunit ribosomal RNA", at positions 711 to 1616 of the family's 2925-position model. The record is from RNAcentral. Lineage: Bacteria; Pseudomonadati; Pseudomonadota; Gammaproteobacteria; Enterobacterales; Enterobacteriaceae.